RNAcentral lists this ribosomal RNA (491 nucleotides) under uncultured bacterium. Its description in RNAcentral is "partial 16S ribosomal RNA". It matches the Rfam family "Bacterial small subunit ribosomal RNA", at positions 29 to 507 of the family's 1533-position model. The record is from RNAcentral.
GUGAACGCUGGCGGUAGGCCUAACACAUGCAAGUCGAACGGCAGCACAGUAAGAGCUUGCUCUUACGGGUGGCGAGUGGCGGACGGGUGAGGAAUACAUCGGAAUCUACUUUUUCGUGGGGGAUAACGUAGGGAAACUUACGCUAAUACCGCAUACGACCUACGGGUGAAAGCAGGGGAUCUUCGGACCUUGCGCGAUUGAAUGAGCCGAUGUCGGAUUAGCUAGUUGGCGGGGUAAAGGCCCACCGAGGCGACGAUCCGUAGCUGGUCUGAGAGGAUGAUCAGCCACACUGGAACUGAGACACGGUCCAGACUCCUACGGGAGGCAGCAGUGGGGAAUAUUGGACAAUGGGCGCAAGCCUGAUCCAGCCAUACCGCGUGGGUGAAGAAGGCCUUCGGGUUGUAAAGCCCUUUUGUUGGGAAAGAAAAGCAGCAGGUUAAUACCCCGCUGUUCUGACGGUACCCAAAGAAUAAGCACCGGCUAACUUCGUG